AAAAAGCAGUGCAAUAUCUCUGAACAGUGCAUGGUUGAAAAUAGUAAAUAAACAGACUUCAGUGUUGUGCUGCCUUCCAUUAGCUUUAUCUAAAAUGGUCUUAAUUUUCUCUCCAGGCCUCAAACCCUAUUGAUGUUGCAGCACGAUCAGGAACGGUCCCGCACACUCUCCUUCAGAAGGACCCACGGAUAACAGAUCCUUUUAGGACCUCAGUAAGAAAGCCAGGCAAAUGGUGUGCAGUGCAUGUUCAAAUCGCCUGGCAGAUCUACCAUCAUCAGCAGAAGAUGAAA
Long non-coding RNA from Sinocyclocheilus grahami, 290 nucleotides. RefSeq lists it as uncharacterized. The transcript has 3 exons. The record is from RefSeq and is a predicted model, not a curated record. NCBI's taxonomy places the organism in Eukaryota, Metazoa, Chordata, Actinopteri, Cypriniformes, Cyprinidae.